This is a long non-coding RNA of Bos taurus (domestic cattle), 1293 nucleotides long. The record is from Ensembl. NCBI's taxonomy places the organism in Eukaryota, Metazoa, Chordata, Mammalia, Artiodactyla, Bovidae.
GUAAGGCCGGGCGGGUCCCCUCUCACUCCCAAGUCCUCGGAAACAAUCCUUACCCCGCGAGCCAAGACAGGCAGGGCUGUCCUGGGGAUCUCUUUGCCCUACAAGAGGGCUUCCUAAUACUGGGUGUGAGAGAAGAGGGCUUUCUCCUGGUGUGCCCAGGCCACUUCGGCCGGGAGAGGCCAGCGGAAGGCCAGACUUAAUGCUUUUACACGAACGAUCGUACCAGUCUUUUGCCAAAAGGAUGUUCUCUAUUUGGCGCAGUGUAAUUGUGUAUUUGAAAAUGUAAGUUUCUUGUUUUUGCCUAAGAACUGUUAAGCUCUCUGUAGGCGGAGUCCUUAAGCCCCUCGCUGUGCGGUCGCCCCUCCCCCUCCCAAGGAUGCACCUGCAGACUCUUCUACCCAACCAGCAAUAAAGUUUCCUGAAGACUGACUGGAAGAUGUUCUGGUGGCUCAGGAGGAGAACCUUUGAUACUUACGAGAAUCUGGUUCAGGACUGUAUCUUUAAUUCCGUUACCUUAGAUCAAGGGGGAGCAAACGGACCCAGCGUCAAGUGAACAGCUGCUGCUCCAUUGAGCUGAUUGUUCCAUUAUGAAAAUGUUAGCCCAAUACUGACACCUAUUUUGUUUUUUCUUUUUAAAGGAAAUCUGGGUUUGUUUGUUUUUUUACUGUAAAAUCUCCAGGUGUGGGCAACUGUAUCAGAUGUUUUAAAAGUGCAUAAGCUGAUUAAGCCAACACAAGCCCUGUCAGUUUGUAUGACCUCUGACUUGAAGGAAAGAGUGAAGAGAAGUUCCACGGCCAAAUCCUAGGCACCCCAGCAUUUAAGAUAGCGUAAUGGAGAAGGAGAUUUGAGAGGGAACAGCCAGGAAGACAGAAGGAAAUCCACUGAGUGUUAAAUUUGGAAUCCGAGGGCAGAGAAGGAUUCAGAAAUGGGUCCAGUGCCUUAUAAAGAAGCUUCAUAGAAAUCCCAGCCCCUGCCACCACAUGAGGACACAGCCAGAAGGCACCAGCUGUGAACCAAGAAAAGGGCCUUCACCAGAAUGUGACCAUGUUGGUGCUUUGACCUCAGAUUUUCCAGCCUCCAGAACUGUGAACAGUAAACAUCUGCUGUUUAUAAGCGCCCAGUUGGUGGUAUUUUGUUAUAGCAGCCUGAACAGACUAAGACAACUACUGUAUUUACACUGUAUCAACUAUCAUUACAACUAUACGACCUCUGAGGAAUCAAUUAGAAACCAGAAUGAGGUCCAGGUGGCCUUGCAGCCUGCUCUCUGCUCUCUGAAGACAAAGAUCCCAUGUG